ACAUAUAAUUUUAAGUUUUUAACUAAUAUAUGUUUUUGCGGGAGGACCUAGACCCUUACUAGCUCCGCCCCUGUUUCUUGGCUGCAUAAAAAGAAGAUUCUUUCUUAUUACUACUCCUUUUGGGCCCUAAAAAAAGGGCAGAACUAAAUUUUUGAGCUCUGUCUAAACUCUAAAGUAAUCUCUCAUGCUGAUAAAAUUUGAAAUUAGAGGCAAAUGCAGCAGCCUAUAUUAAACCGUUUAACUGAAUCAGUGUUUUCGACAUUGAACAUGUAUGUACCUGUAAUCCAAUACAAAGCAUCAAUCAUUCAAUUGUGCGUUUGCCUCAGCCUGAGACCUUAUCUUCAGCUUUGAUUUCCAAAAGUAAGAUUUUAUUUUUGGUAAGAUCGAUGUUGUCAUACUUCAAUUUGAUCACUGCCUGUUUUGGUCUUAACUUAAGCUAACGCGGGAACCAGAGAGACCGAGAUCGUGAAAGGGCACAAGCCAGGGGAAACCACAAGUCCAAGACACCUAAACAUGAUGGAUUAACCCCUGAACAACGACGAGAAAGGGAUGCAAAGGCACUUCAAGAGAAGGCGAAAAAGAAAGCAGCACAGGCGGGAGAUGGAUGGAACAUAGACAAAUCUGAAAUAGUUGGGAAAUGAGUAAAAAGGGGGCAUGAGUUAUAGAUUCUUGUUCAUCGUGUCAUUUCAAGUGUCUGGCAUGUAUGUUUGGCUUUUGUACCUUUGAUUUGUGUCUUCAUCUGCAGUGAAAUUUCCUCUUGUGAUUACUCUUA
Molecule: long non-coding RNA, 772 nt
Organism: Solanum tuberosum (potato)
Lineage: Eukaryota; Viridiplantae; Streptophyta; Magnoliopsida; Solanales; Solanaceae
Exons: 2
Source: RefSeq, a predicted model, not a curated record